RNAcentral lists this unclassified non-coding RNA (136 nucleotides) under uncultured fungus. RNAcentral describes it as "sequence contains ITS1". The record is from RNAcentral. Lineage: Eukaryota; Fungi.
AUCUUUUUUAAUUGUAUUUAAAACCCACCCUUUUUUGAAAAAAAAUUUUUACAUGUUUAUUUACUUGAAAUGAGUACGCGCGAAAAAGAUCGCGCGGAGAUUGAUAAUGAUCCUUCCGCAGGUUCACCUACGGAAA